GAAAUACCCAGACUGGUCCUGGUCCAGGGCCCUCUGGGCAAAGCAAAACCUGAUGAAUCCAGACAACCCAAUGGGUGAUACUGGGGGCGAAGGGACAGAUUCUAAGAAAAGAAAGGAAUGGAGGCUAACCUGGAUGAAUGACAGAACUGGUGCCUCCAGCCAGCUGUCCGGCUCCCAAAUUCCGGCCGAGAGUCCCGGGAACAAAGCAAGAAAAAUCAGAGAGAGAAUCCUAAGGAGAGCAAACCCCAAGCAGGGACCACUCGCCCACAGGACGCGAACCGCAGAGACCAACAGAAGAAUCCAGGGGCCUCUACCACUCCAGGCCGGCCCAGUCCUGGGGGUGUCCAAGACACUGAGAUGGGCCCCUGCCGCAGACAUCUGGACUCAGUGCUGCAGCAACUGCAGACCGAGGUCUAUCGCGGGGUUCACACCCUCUACGUGCCUAAUUGUGACCAUCGGGGCUUCUACCGGAAGCGGCAGUGCCGCUCCUCCCAGGGGCAGCGCCGAGGUCCCUGCUGGUGUGUGGAUCGGAUGGGCCAGCCCCUGUCGGGGUCCCCGGAUGGUGAUGGAAGCUCCUCCUGCCCCCCUGGGAACAGUGGCUAAGGCUGGUGGGGGGUGCUUCAGGGCCACUGAGAGGAGCAUGGGGCUGUCAUCUUGGGUCAUUUGUUGAGUGAUGAGUAACUCAGGAGCCCUGAGCCCCACACUCCACCUUCAGGCCCUACCCCACUGUCCCCCUAACCCCUGGGAACCCCACACAUGGAAAGAUUGUUAGUGUGGGCUUGGGGUGUGAAUAAAGCUAUGUUGGGGGUCUCUGGCCUACGUCUC
This 825-nucleotide long non-coding RNA is filed under the name Ursus maritimus (polar bear). RNAcentral's name for it is "lncRNA (ENSUMAG00000009954.1)". Lineage: Eukaryota; Metazoa; Chordata; Mammalia; Carnivora; Ursidae. The record is from RNAcentral.